AACCCCCUAAUUUUCUAAAGGUGACCUCGGAUCACGUAGAAACCCGCUGACUAA
RNAcentral lists this ribosomal RNA (54 nucleotides) under fungal endophyte. Its description in RNAcentral is "partial 28S ribosomal RNA". Lineage: Eukaryota; Fungi. The record is from RNAcentral.